RNAcentral lists this ribosomal RNA (459 nucleotides) under uncultured bacterium. Its description in RNAcentral is "partial 16S ribosomal RNA". It matches the Rfam family "Bacterial small subunit ribosomal RNA", at positions 338 to 795 of the family's 1533-position model. The record is from RNAcentral.
CCUACGGGAGGCAGCAGUGAGGAAUAUUGGUCAAUGGAGGCAACUCUGAACCAGCCAAGUAGCGUGCAGGAUGACGGCCCUAUGGGUUGUAAACUGCUUUUAUGCGGGGAUAAACUGAGUCACGUGUGGCUUAUUGCAGGUACCGCAUGAAUAAGGACCGGCUAAUUCCGUGCCAGCAGCCGCGGUAAUACGGAAGGUCCGGGCGUUAUCCGGAUUUAUUGGGUUUAAAGGGUGCGCAGGCGGAAGCGCAAGUCAGCGGUAAAAUUGAGAGGCUCAACCUCUUCCCGCCGUUGAAACUGCGUUUCUUGAGUGGGCGAGAAGUACGCGGAAUGCGUGGUGUAGCGGUGAAAUGCAUAGAUAUCACGCAGAACUCCGAUUGCGAAGGCAGCGUACCGGCGCCCAACUGACGCUCAUGCACGAAAGCGUGGGUAUCGAACAGGAUUAGAUACCCCAGUAGUC